GUAGUUGUGGCCAAAUGGUUAAGGCAAUGGACUAGAAAUCCAUUGGGGUCUCCCCGUGCAGGUUUGAAUCCUGCUGACUAUG
This is a non-coding RNA of Lemur catta (Ring-tailed lemur), 82 nucleotides long. NCBI's taxonomy places the organism in Eukaryota, Metazoa, Chordata, Mammalia, Primates, Lemuridae. The record is from the annotation of a RefSeq genome assembly.